UGCAUAUUUCUAACCUUACUGUGAACUGUUUUACUGUUUAGCGUUUUGAGGGAUUGCCUAAAGAUUAUAGGGAUAGGUCUUUAGGAUGUUAACCUAGCUAAAGUCAGGCUUAGGCCUGGUAUCCUAAUUCAUUAUUUACCAAAAGAAUUCAGAAUUAAUAUUGUAACAUAAGCGUAAAAAACUUAUAAAACAACUUUUAACAACGGAUCUCUUGGUUCUCGCAUCGAUGAAGAACGUAGCAAAGUGCGAUAACUAGUGUGAAUUGCAUAUUCAGUGAAUCAUCGAGUCUUUGAACGCAUCUUGCGCUCAAUGGUAUUCCAUUGAGCACGCCUGUUUCAGUAUCAACAACAACCCACAUCCACAAUUUUGUUGUGAAUGGAAGUGAGAGUAUCGAUGUAAAAAUUGAACUCUUUAAAACUAUUAGGCCUGAACUAUUGUUCUAUUAGCCUGAACAUUUUUUUAAUAUAAAGGAAUGCUCUAGUUAAAAGACUAUCUUGGGGGCCUCCCAAAUAAAUCAUUUUUUUAAACUUGAUCUGAAAUCAGGUGGGAUUACCCGCUGAACUUAAGCAUAUCAAUAAGCG
This 581-nucleotide ribosomal RNA is filed under the name Rhizomucor sp. Rhi_25. Its description in RNAcentral is "eukaryotic LSU rRNA". The stretch from base 192 to 344 matches the Rfam family "5.8S ribosomal RNA". The record is from RNAcentral. Lineage: Eukaryota; Fungi; Mucoromycota; Mucoromycetes; Mucorales; Lichtheimiaceae.